GAGGGUACAGCUCAGUGGUAGAGCAUGUGCUUAGCAUGCACCAGGUCCUGGGUUCCAUCCCCAGGACCUCCA
RNAcentral lists this transfer RNA (72 nucleotides) under Camelus bactrianus (Bactrian camel). It matches the Rfam family "tRNA". Rfam says of the family: Transfer RNA (tRNA) molecules are approximately 80 nucleotides in length. Their secondary structure includes four short double-helical elements and three loops (D, anti-codon, and T loops). RNAcentral also lists the same sequence under 1 other name. Lineage: Eukaryota; Metazoa; Chordata; Mammalia; Artiodactyla; Camelidae. The record is from Rfam by way of RNAcentral.